This 201-nucleotide ribosomal RNA is filed under the name uncultured Desulfovibrio sp. RNAcentral describes it as "partial 16S ribosomal RNA". It matches the Rfam family "Bacterial small subunit ribosomal RNA", at positions 1182 to 1381 of the family's 1533-position model. The record is from RNAcentral. Lineage: Bacteria; Pseudomonadati; Thermodesulfobacteriota; Desulfovibrionia; Desulfovibrionales; Desulfovibrionaceae.
ACGUCAAGGUCAUCAUGGCCCUUACGCCUAGGGCUACACACGUACUACAAUGGCGCAUACAAAGGGCAGCGAUACCGCGAGGUGGAGCCAAUCCCAAAAAGUGCGUCCCAGUCCGGAUUGCAGUCUGCAACUCGACUGCAUGAAGUUGGAAUCGCUAGUAAUUCGAGAUCAGCAUGCUCGGGUGAAUGCGUUCCCGGCCUU